Molecule: long non-coding RNA, 1082 nt
Organism: Triticum aestivum (bread wheat)
Lineage: Eukaryota; Viridiplantae; Streptophyta; Magnoliopsida; Poales; Poaceae
Exons: 4
Source: RefSeq, a predicted model, not a curated record
UGUAUGGUCGAAUUAAAAAACAGUAUAACAGAGCUAGUUAGGAGCCUCCACAGCGAUUUGAUGCUCUGAACCGUCGGAUCACUCUCAUCUACGCACAAGAUUUCCUCGACCGUUUUCUGGGCUGCUGCUCCGGAGAACGAGUUACACUAAUUGUGGCUAAUCGGGCCGUUAGAUUCAAGGCCCACGAGCCUCUCGCAAGUCAGGUCGCCAAACCUAUCCUCGAGCUGCUCCCCUUUUCCUGGGCGCUGCGCCGCCGCCGGCGAGGUUCCUGCGUCCGCAGGCCCCCACGGUGGUCUCUUCUUCCCCAUGUCGUGCCCUCCAGCGUUGUAUCUGCGGGCCUGAGCACGCGCAACAAGCAACCAAUGAGCGGCUGGAGGAUCAGGCCACACAUGUUAGCUGGGCGACGAAGCCGACGUGAAUGCAUAUGCUCAUUAGUCCUCACGGCACAAACAGUCCCAAGACCAGGUUCUGAUUCUGAUAGAAUUUUCAGUUCACGCCUUCCUACUCAUGGAGGACAUUUGUGUCAAUAGGUAAAGUGGCAGUAAUGAUGCCCUAAAGUAUUAAGCCAAACAAUUGAUGUAGCAAUGCCGCUCGUGUUGCAGAAGGAGAUAAAUAUGGGCGCUUCUCAUAAAUGUGUGUAAAGAGAGAUCAUACCUGAAUCUCUGAGUAUAGUGGCCGAGCGAGGCAGUUUGAAAAAUACGAAUCUUUGUAGGCGUUGUUGCAUUGCAUGUUACCCAAGAGAUUUGCAUAUCAACUGCAGACGAUGCCCAAAAGGAAGUUCAGCAUAACCAUUUUACGUCAGAAGGUUUGUGGGCAGCAUAACCAUUUUACGUCAGAAGAUAGCUAAUUCUAUUGAGAUAUUCCACUGAAGAACUCUUGGAGAAUUCAAUUAUGUGCGAGAGCAGACAAGACAAUGAUAAAAUGUUCUACUCCCUCCGUUCCAUAAUGUAGUGCCUAUAGAUUUUUUUAUAAAGUCAAACUUUACAAACUUUGACCAUUCUGAUGAUUUUGAUAUAGGAAAAACGUGAACAGAUGAUUUAUAUGAUUAGUCGAUAAGUUCUAAUUAAUGUUUGAUAAUUAUU